UUCAGUUAAUAUUUUAAUAUGUUAAAAUGAAAAAAGGAGACAAUAGGCUACUGUUUGGUAUAAUAUUUUGUUUUAUAUAAUGUAGGCCUAACGUUACACAUUUCCCUGAACUUCAUUUCUGUGGGUAUUAAUAUGUUUAACGAUUGAAAAUGAGAACGAAAAUAGGCAGUGGUGUUUGAUAUCAUAUUUCGUCUUAAUGAAAUGGGGGGGGGGUCGGUGGAAACGCUGCAUAACUGUACCAAGGUCAUGAACGGUCAAGGCAGAAGGAAAAGACUGAGCGGGAACAGCUGUAGACCGUCCGCAGGAUCAGCUGCACACUGGCUGCUAGAUGGAACAUAUGUUUGCUUGCUUUAAGCCAUGAUAAUAAUUGUCAAAUGGUUAUAUGUCAAAGAAGAAAGGGAAGGCUGUAAUACAACAUAAGCCUAUUGCAUCCAUAAAAUGCCUAGUCCAAAUUAGGAAAAACCAUACCAUGUCUCCCACCUGAUAAAAUUGGUACUUUUGCCCAUCCUGCCAAUACUGCCACUCACGCGUGUGUGGUGAAGCGUUCUAGUGCUCUUUUAGUUACCAUAUUGUGUAUGCAUUUCAGGACAGGCACUAAGUGCAGACAAAUGGAUGAUUUCUUUGGAAGGGACAACUGUGAUGGUGCCCCACAACAACCUUCGCUGUCUACAUGUUUAACUAACAGUAUCCUAGAGGCCUCAAGCACUAAAGAGCUUUUUGUGGAAUCAACUCCAAGAUGUCAGCAAAGCAGAGAAGAGACAUGGGCUCAACGCACCUGUCUGCACCCUAUUAAGAAGACUCCUGGGCUUUGAGUUGAUGGGCUAGUAUUGAUGCCCACCCACACCCCACAGCUUCCCCAGUUCAAGACUGGUUGGGACCUUUUGUUAUUUAUUACCAUGUUCCCCCUGAUGAUAGACUGUCUGGAUGUCUGGAAGUGAGCUAGAUUCUUCAGUGAAACUGUAAUUUUGUUUGUAUGAAAAAAAAAAAAAGAUAAAAUAAGUUUGUAAUAUGUGAUGUUGCAUAGUGUGUUAAUAAUAAAAAAUAAUAAAAAGUU
This is a long non-coding RNA of Carassius auratus (goldfish), 1054 nucleotides long. RefSeq lists it as uncharacterized. NCBI's taxonomy places the organism in Eukaryota, Metazoa, Chordata, Actinopteri, Cypriniformes, Cyprinidae. The record is from RefSeq and is a predicted model, not a curated record. The transcript has 2 exons.